RNAcentral lists this ribosomal RNA (254 nucleotides) under uncultured bacterium. RNAcentral's name for it is "partial 16S ribosomal RNA". It matches the Rfam family "Bacterial small subunit ribosomal RNA", at positions 524 to 776 of the family's 1533-position model. The record is from RNAcentral.
UAUGUAGGGAGCAAGCGUUGUCCGGAUUUAUUGGGCGUAAAGAGCUCGUAGGCGGUUAAGUAAGUCAGGUGUGAAACCUCCAGGCUCAACCUGGAGACGCCACUUGAUACUGCUUUGACUUGAGUUCGGUAGGGGAUCACGGAAUUCCUGGUGUAGCGGUGAAAUGCGCAGAUAUCAGGAGGAACACCGGUGGCGAAGGCGGAUCUCUGGGCCUUACCUGACGCUCAGGCACGAAAGCUAGGGGAGCGAACAGG